This 440-nucleotide ribosomal RNA is filed under the name uncultured bacterium. RNAcentral's name for it is "partial 16S ribosomal RNA". It matches the Rfam family "Bacterial small subunit ribosomal RNA", at positions 338 to 795 of the family's 1533-position model. The record is from RNAcentral.
CCUACGGGAGGCAGCAGUGGGGAAUAUUGCACAAUGGGGGGAACCCUGAUGCAGCGACGCCGCGUGAGUGAAGAAGUAUUUCGGUAUGUAAAGCUCUAUCAGCAGGGAAGAAAAUGACGGUACCUGACUAAGAAGCCCCGGCUAACUACGUGCCAGCAGCCGCGGUAAUACGUAGGGGGCAAGCGUUAUCCGGAUUUACUGGGUGUAAAGGGGGCGCAGACGGCUGUGCAAGUCUGGAGUGAAAGGCGGGGGCCCAACCCCCGGACUGCUCUGGAAACUGUAAAGCUGGAGUGCAGGAGAGGUAAGCGGAAUUCCUAGUGUAGCGGUGAAAUGCGUAGAUAUUAGGAGGAACACCAGUGGCGAAGGCGGCUUACUGGACUGCAACUGACGUUGAGGCUCGAAAGCGUGGGGAGCAAACAGGAUUAGAUACCCGGGUAGUC